GCGCGUGUAGCUCAGAGGUUAGAGCGUGCGGUUCACAUCCGUAAGGUCCCUGGUUCGAAUCCAGGCACGCGCACUA
RNAcentral lists this transfer RNA (76 nucleotides) under Candidatus Nealsonbacteria bacterium CG07_land_8_20_14_0_80_40_10. RNAcentral's name for it is "tRNA-Val". It matches the Rfam family "tRNA". Rfam says of the family: Transfer RNA (tRNA) molecules are approximately 80 nucleotides in length. The record is from RNAcentral. RNAcentral also lists the same sequence under 2 other names. Lineage: Bacteria; Candidatus Nealsoniibacteriota.